This 507-nucleotide ribosomal RNA is filed under the name uncultured bacterium. Its description in RNAcentral is "partial 16S ribosomal RNA". It matches the Rfam family "Bacterial small subunit ribosomal RNA", at positions 29 to 523 of the family's 1533-position model. The record is from RNAcentral.
AUUGAACGCUGGCGGCAGGCCUAACACAUGCAAGUCGGACGGUAGCACAGAGGAGCCUGCUCCUCGGGUGACGAGUGGCGGACGGGUGAGUAAUGUCUGGGGAUCUGCCCGAUAGAGGGGGAUAACCACUGGAAACGGUGGCUAAUACCGCAUAACGUCGCAAGACCAAAGAGGGGGACCUUCGGGCCUCUCACUAUCGGAUGAACCCAGAUGGGAUUAGCUAGUAGGCGGGGUAAUGGCCCACCUAGGCGACGAUCCCUAGCUGGUCUGAGAGGAUGACCAGCCACACUGGAGCUGAGACACGGUCCAGACUCCGACGGGAGGCAGCAGUGGGGAAUAUUGCAUAAUGGGCGCAAGCCUGAUGCAGCCAUGCCGCGUGUAUGAAGAAGGCCUUCGGGUUGUAAAGUACUUUCAGCGGGGAGGAAGGCGAUAAGGUUAAUACCUAGUGAUAGUGGACGUUACUCGCAGAAUAAGCACCGGCUAACUCUGUGCCAGCCGCCGCCGUAA